GCGCGAAACCUCCGCAAUGCGAGCAAUCGCGACGGGGGGACCCCAAGUGCCACUCUUAACGGGGUGGCUUUUCUUAAGUGUAAAAAGCUUUUGGAAUAAGGGCUGGGCAAGACCGGUGCCAGCCGCCGCGGUAACACCGGCAGCUCUAGUGGUAGCCAUUUUUAUUGGGCCUAAAGCGUCCGUAGCCGGUUUAAUAAGUCUCUGGUGAAAUCCUGCAGCUUAACUGUGGGAAUUGCUGGAGAUACUAUUAGACUUGAGAUCGGGAGAGGUUAGAGGUACUCCCAGGGUAGAGGUGAAAUUCUGUAAUCCUGGGAGGACCGCCUGUUGCGAAGGCGUCUGACUGGAACGAUUCUGACGGUGAGGGACGAAAGCUAGGGGGCGCGAACCGGAUUAGAUACCCGGGUAGUCCUAGCUGUAAACGAUGCGGACUUGGUGUUGGGGUGGCUUUGAGCUGUCCCAGUGCCGAGGGAAGCUGUUAAGUCCGCCGCCUGGGAGUACGGUCGCAAGACUGAAACUUAAAGGAAAUUGGCGGGGGAGCACCGACAAC
This 547-nucleotide ribosomal RNA is filed under the name uncultured Methanobacteriales archaeon. Its description in RNAcentral is "bacterial SSU rRNA". It matches the Rfam family "Archaeal small subunit ribosomal RNA", at positions 339 to 885 of the family's 1478-position model. Lineage: Archaea; Methanobacteriati; Methanobacteriota; Methanobacteria; Methanobacteriales. The record is from RNAcentral.